CCUACGGGUGGCAGCAGUGAGGAAUAUUGGUCAAUGGUCGGGAGACUGAACCAGCCAAGCCGCGUGAGGGAUGAAGGUACAGAGUAUCGUAAACCUCUUUUGUCAGGGAACAAAGGCGGGGACGUGUCCCCGGAUGAGUGUACCUGAAGAAAAAGCAUCGGCUAACUCCGUGCGAGCAGCCGCGGGAAUACGGAGGAUGCGAGAGUUAUCCGGAUUUAUUGGGCGUAAAGCGCUCGUAGGCGGUAUGUCAAGGCAAGGGUUAAAUCCCCGCGCUCAACGUGGGAACUGCCUUUGAAACUGGCAAACUGGAGUGUGUGAGAGGAUAGUGGAAUUCCAGGUGUAGGAGUGAAAUCCGUAGAUAUCUGGAGGAACAUCAGUGGCGAAGGCGACUAUCUGGCACAUAACUGACGCUGAGGAGCGAAAGCGUGGGUAGCAAACAGGAUUAGAUACCCGUGUAGUC
This 460-nucleotide ribosomal RNA is filed under the name uncultured bacterium. RNAcentral describes it as "partial 16S ribosomal RNA". It matches the Rfam family "Bacterial small subunit ribosomal RNA", at positions 338 to 795 of the family's 1533-position model. The record is from RNAcentral.